UCUCUCUCAGGAUGACACCUGGAGGGUUUCUAGUAUUCUACCAGUCUUGGCUACAGGAGGGAGAGUCAAGCAGAAGCAUACCCAUUCCAUUUCUAGUUAGGGCAGUGGCUAUCAAAUGGAAGACAAUCUGUUACAAGU
This is a small nucleolar RNA of Ornithorhynchus anatinus (platypus), 138 nucleotides long. Lineage: Eukaryota; Metazoa; Chordata; Mammalia; Monotremata; Ornithorhynchidae. The record is from RefSeq and is a predicted model, not a curated record.